RNAcentral lists this long non-coding RNA (2116 nucleotides) under Xyrichtys novacula (pearly razorfish). Lineage: Eukaryota; Metazoa; Chordata; Actinopteri; Labriformes; Labridae. The record is from RNAcentral.
UGGGCUUCAUUAUAGGCCUGCUUCUGUGGUUUGUGGUGGAUCAGUGGAGUCAUAAGCCACAGCUCCAGUGGGUUACCCUUGUGUCCUGUGGAUAAAAAUCAACCCCGCUGUUGUGUCCAUGUUGCGAAUGCACCGGUUAUGACCAUGAUUGACUUACUGUCUCAUAGGCCUAUGAAUAUUUUUCAUCUAUAACAUUUAGGUUGCAAAAUCUUGAAAUGAGGGUGCGAUACAUACUGUGUAGAAUUGGCCCUCAUAAGCUGACAGGGCAUCAAGUUAAUCUUUCUAUCUAUUAUUGAGCCUGUAAAGGCUCAGGUCCUGAGUAUUUUAAAGAGAAAGAGAAAGCCUCAUAAUUGCUAAACCUUCCUGAAAAUGCUUAAAAUAGAAGAAAAGAGGUAAAAAUCAACAUAUCUCAGUAGGAAUUCAAAGCGUAAGGUCUUUUUUGGAUGCAUUAUUGAAAAGGCAGGGUCCCUGGUAAAAUCCCCUGCUUCACGAGCCCACGUCACACUCUGAUUUGAAAUUGUAAUGAGGUGCAGGUUUUCAGAGGAUAUCCUCCCCAGAAUGAGGCGCACUCACUCAUUAGAUUGGACACGGUAAUGAAAAUAGAAAAGAUUUUUACACUGCCAACAGAAAAUCAGGGGAAUCAGCUCCAAACCAUCUCUUUAAUAGCAUGCAUUUUUUUUCCAUGAAUAUUAAUUAUUCACAGCUAUCUAUGCAUAGCUGAGUGUGAAUAUUUCUUUUGCAGCAGCUUUCAUAGAGCUCAUUUGAAUAUCUUUCUUAAAGCAUCUCUCCUCCUUGUAGUGGUUUGUUGUGCAUUUACAUCUUGGUGUCUCUUAGGAAAGUCUCUGCUGCUGGCCUCUUCUGCCUCUUCUCCACAGGAGCUUUUGGGCAAUAAGUGCCUCAUUUAGCAAAACAUCUGCAUUGUUAGAGUGAUGUAAAAUUUUUUUUAGCUUCCUGCCAAUCAGAGGAUUUUAAACUGUUGACCCUGAGACCACAUUUACAGCCGCAACCUUCAGAAAACAACUUCUUAAAGCACUUCUUGAUAAUUUGACAUUUUAGAACGCAGCCAGACUUGAUGUACACUCCAGACAUGACGGAAAGCUUUAUCAUUUCUAUGCAAUAUCUGACUAACCCAGGCCUUUGUUUACAGCGCACGGCAUGCUGUGAGAAAUAUAAUUCAGCGAACUUUUUACUAUUCACUCACAAGCCCCAUCAAAAUUCCAUCAAAUAUCCCGCUGACAGACGUUCUUGUCAAUCCGAAGACGCAAUCCAUCACUGCGCAGUCUGGGGUGGUAUUUUGCUCAAGAGAGAUUGCUUCCUUGUUCAGUUCAGAGGCAUCUAUACGAAAGCUUCUUCAGCGCCCAGAGAAAAUGCAGGGAAAAAUAUCAUUUGCAUAUGAAUUGGUAGCUGUAAACCUUUGUAUCAUGUCUGAAAAUAAGAGCAGCAGUGCAGAUUGCUUCAUCUCUUAAGGAAGUUUCAAAGCCCCUGUUGCGUGUACACACACACACAGACACACACACACCUCUCACACAUAAAGUUGGGAUUUUAUUUUGCACCUCUGCCACAGGGGUUGCAUUUCUUGAUAGGUGGUGUAUCUUUCUGCCAGCACAAUUAGCAUACAGCCGAUGAAACACCCACCUCAAAUUAGGCUGAAUCCAGCUGCAUCAGACCACGGAGCUCUUUGGGUUAUACACAUAGACUGUAUGUACUAUCCUCAACUUACUAGCAGAAUUACACAUGUGCACAGCCUGCUACACAAAAGGUUCCAGGGCCCUGUCUGAAUGAUCUAAAAUGCAUAGUCCAAACUGCAUGGCUCAAAGUGGAUUACGGCAUUUUUAAGAGCAUUUUGCAUUGAGAGACACAACAAGUUUGCUAUGUGAGGCACAGGGUGCCAGGUAGCCAAGGUCUCCCGUGUAGUAACAUUAAUUAAACCAAUCAGAACAUCUGCUGCCAUUCCCUGUGAGGGCUGGGCAUGUCUGCAGGAAGGUGUGCUGCUUUUUACACAGCUGAUUUCGGAGUUUCAACUAAACUGGACUGAGUUUACGUCAGCUUGUUUAACAGCAGUUUGUACAGGGUGGGUUGCUCUAAAAUUUUCUCAGAUUAAAAGUUAAUGAAAAUG